UGAAACUUUGUGAAAACAUUAGAAACUGUACACUCAAUGACCAGAAACAUAAAUAAAACACUUGUACAAUAUAAUGCAAACCAAGCAUCCCUUAAAUGCAUACAACCUUUGUGGAACUUUUUUUAAAACCUUAACUGAGCCUCGGAGAGAGGAUUUGGAUCGACAUAAUGAAGAUUGUGUAUUUCUGGGUCAUUGAGAGCACGAUUGUAGUAACUCUAUAGUCGUAAACGUGAUAGUUAUCCACGGAUGAAAUACUUUUAAGUCGUAGGGGAUGUUAUAUCAACAGGAAACGCAAUAGCGUUUCACACAGUAAAACGACGGCAGUAGCCAAGUUCUAUAUCGGACCUUUAGUUGGCGCCUGAGCUACAGCCGAGGAUGAGAUGGUGACCCGGCUGAGAAGAGAGCUCGCAUCCCCGCCUUCUUUGUCCCCACUGCCCGCAGCACCCGCCGAGCCUGCACCGGAGGAAUCACCCCCCUUCAGUUCCAGUGAAUCCUCCGGUAGUCCCGCUUCACGACGCAAAAUUUCGACGGACUCGAGGUGGAAGGCAUCUCAGGAGCGCAGCACAGGAUGUCUGUGCAGACUGCAUGCAGAUCCAAAAAAAUAAGCUGGAAGACUCUCCC
This is a long non-coding RNA of Perca flavescens (yellow perch), 621 nucleotides long. RefSeq lists it as uncharacterized. The transcript is spliced from 3 exons. The record is from RefSeq and is a predicted model, not a curated record. Lineage: Eukaryota; Metazoa; Chordata; Actinopteri; Perciformes; Percidae.